UAUAAUAUUUGACUUUUCGUCUUGUUUAAAAUUUUUUCACAAUUAAUGUUUUUAUCAUUAUUAGAUAAUAAAACAUGAAUAAUAUUUUACACGUGACUAUUUUUUUAAGGUUUUCCUAUAAAUAUUUUAAAUAAGACGGAUGGUCAAACAUUAUACACAGAA
Molecule: microRNA precursor, 162 nt
Filed under: Oryza brachyantha (malo sina)
Lineage: Eukaryota; Viridiplantae; Streptophyta; Magnoliopsida; Poales; Poaceae
Description: MIR812 microRNA precursor family
Rfam family: MIR812 microRNA precursor family
Source: Rfam by way of RNAcentral